Long non-coding RNA from Hipposideros armiger (great roundleaf bat), 869 nucleotides. RefSeq lists it as uncharacterized. The record is from RefSeq and is a predicted model, not a curated record. NCBI's taxonomy places the organism in Eukaryota, Metazoa, Chordata, Mammalia, Chiroptera, Hipposideridae. The transcript has 3 exons.
UCCUUAGCUGUGAAGUGAACAUAUGCCUUCUUACUGGGUAUGGAAGAGGCUUAAUUAUUGUUUGUAAAGCACGUGGCAGCUCCAUGAAAAACAGCUAUCUAAAUGAUGCAUUCUCUGCUGAAGGCAAUAGGGAGAGUUUGUUGGAGCAUUAUUUUUCAGUUGUCUUCAUAGGGGAGAGCUUUUAAAAGAGCCUUGUUUUCUGUAAGCUUAAGUGUUUCUUGCCACCUAGUUACUACUAGAGGAGGUUGACACGGUUCAUUUCAGCCUGAGGUGGGGAAGCCCACAGAGAAGAAACAGAUCCAGAGGGGUCACCGUUCUCAGCACUGGAACAAGAAUACAAAUCUUGUCACUCUACUGUACCCUACUUCCUACCUUUGUGCCAAAGGAGCUCGCCCUCGGGACUUGCUGCCAAUCCCCAAGAUUUACCUGUUGACUGAGGGGACCCAGCAAGGUCUCUUCACAGCCCAUUCACGUUCUGGCCUCCUGAAAUUUAGUUUUUCCUCUAAGAACAGUGACGUUUACCCCUAUUUACAGGAGGUCAAAUUUCCACGCCCUGCCUCUCCUCUGAGCCAGGUAUUCCUCAUUGCCCUGACUUCUGCAACUUAGUGAAGACCUCAGUCUGCUAUGAAAACACCUCUUUUUCUGCCAUCACCACCUUGAGGUCAGGUUAUUCCACACAUCACUGAUGGCCUACCCAGGCUCCCAUCCACUGUGGCAACCACCCUGCCCUCCUGUAUUCUGCUUACAGGUGGGAUGUGCUCCAUCAUGGCCAGACUGUUUCCACCCAGCAGUGGCAACAGAAUCUUAAAGGACAGUCCUGGGCAAGUCAGUGUCACCAGGUUAUCUUUCUAACCCACUGACCAUGACUG